RNAcentral lists this long non-coding RNA (1178 nucleotides) under Rhinopithecus bieti (black snub-nosed monkey). Its description in RNAcentral is "lncRNA (ENSRBIG00000046761.1)". Lineage: Eukaryota; Metazoa; Chordata; Mammalia; Primates; Cercopithecidae. The record is from RNAcentral.
UAACUGGUAACACCUAAAUAUUAUACUGUUUACUUGUUUUUCCCUGAAACUAGUUAGAAUUGUUAGCCAGCUUACAUCUUUUGUUCUGAGGGACACAAUUUAUAUUUUAAAUAUAUAGCUCCUUUAAGAAAAUCUAUGUAUUCUUAGGUGGAAGCUAGAGCCUGCUAGACUGUUAAACUGUCUUUGCAAGAUGACUUUGUGAGCUUCCCUCUGUAGAGACUUUUAUUUUCCAUGUGGUACUCACAGGAAGGCUUUGCAAUCACCAUCGUAUGGAGCUCGAAUUCGAAAAAUCCUGAGCUGGAUAGGCGGUGCUUCUCCACUGUGUACAGGCUGAGAUCCGGCGUUGCAGGACGGUCACCAGCCAUGGAUGCUGACCCAGGGACCUAGAAGACAGCUUCCGCGCUUCUCCAGCUCCGGCACCUACUUAUUAGAACACACGGGGUCAAAGAGGUUAAGAAACUGGAGAUCUAAGGAAUGCGGUUUGAAAAUGAACCUGCUGAAUGAUCCCUUCCAGCCACUUAUGCUCCUCACUGUCCCCAGAUGCAGCUCAGCAGUCUUCCCAGCAACGGAUCUCAAUGCUCUGGUGAUGCGGAGUCUGAGGCCGGGACCACCAGGCUCUGCCAGGCACACCCCUCCGUGGGAGACAGGGGCAAAUGAACGGAGGCAGCUGAGACAGAGACCACGGGAGAAAUGAGGGUUCCUCUUGUGGACGUGAGCCAGAGACACUUGAUUUUUCUGGGGGCUCCAGCAGAGGUUUAAGCAGUAGAUCUUUGAGAAACAAUCAAGACUGACUUCCCUGUGCUUCCAGAGAUUCUGGAAGGUCUCUGGUGCCCUAUAAUAAAGAAUUUCAGUUUGAAUUAGUCUGCUUAGGCUGUCACAACAAAAUGCUAUCAACUGUGUGGCAUAAAUAGCAGAAAUUUAUUUUCUCACAGUUCUGGAGGCUGUAGCUCCUAGGUGAAGGUCUGGUAGGCUGGUUUCUGGGGAGGGCUCUCUUCCUGUCUUGCAAGUGGCUGCCUUCUCGCUAUGUCCUCACGUGGAGGAAAGAGAGUGAGCUCUCUGGUUCCCUUUCUAGAAAGACACCGACUUCAUCACCUCAGGGCCCCAUCCUUGCAACGUCAUUAGCCCUUAGCUGCUUCCCUAAGGGUCCUAUCUCUGUAUACAGGAACAGUGAGGGAGGG